Molecule: long non-coding RNA, 308 nt
Organism: Mangifera indica (mango)
Lineage: Eukaryota; Viridiplantae; Streptophyta; Magnoliopsida; Sapindales; Anacardiaceae
Exons: 2
Source: RefSeq, a predicted model, not a curated record
UUGUGCACAUUUGUCAGAAGCCAUUUUUGUUAUCCCAGUUGCACAAGCGUCUAGCUAACUUGUGUGGUGCGACCCCUUUAUUAUUUGUCUGUAAUUCUCUUUGGGCCCCAAGAAGAAAAACCAGUAAAGGGGAAAAUCGUGUCUUCCUUCACCAGGCAAACGACGAUAGAUGGACUUGAUGAGACUGUUAACAGAUGAUGAGUGAUUACAAGGUAGAGAUGAUCAAUGAUGGCAUGCAAGAGUUCUAUGUACAUUUUCAUCCCUUGCAAUUGUGCCAAUAAAAUGUAGCUGUUUUGCCCAGAAUUCUG